This 6937-nucleotide long non-coding RNA is filed under the name Hordeum vulgare. RNAcentral describes it as "long non-coding RNA (HVUL_LNC008806)". Lineage: Eukaryota; Viridiplantae; Streptophyta; Magnoliopsida; Poales; Poaceae. The record is from RNAcentral.
AGCGUCGGAGAGGGCGUGACCGAGCUCGUGCCAGGUGACCAUGUCCUGCCGGUGUUCACUGGCGAGUGCAAGGAUUGUGCUCACUGCAAGUCAGAGGAGAGCAACCUCUGUGACCUCCUCAGGAUCAAUGUCGACCGGGGCGUGAUGAUCGGCGAUGGGCAGUCCCGCUUCACCACCGGUGGGAAACCGAUAUUCCACUUCGUCGGAACCUCUACCUUCAGCGAGUACACCGUGAUCCAUGUUGGGUGCCUAGCGAAGAUUAACCCCGAGGCGCCCCUUGACAAAGUUUGUGUUCUCAGCUGCGGUAUCUCAACUGGUAAGGCAUUGCUCUGAUUGGUACUCUCUCUGUAUUUUAGUCAUCUAAACGCUUUUAUAUUAGUUUACAAAGAAAGUAUUUCCCGAUGAAGCGCCAUAUGCAUAUUGCCUCAUUGAUAAGUUACUGAAAAGUCAUUUUUUUUCUUCAGGUCUUGGUGCGACUCUCAAUGUCGCAAAACCGAAAAAGGGUUCGACGGUGGCAAUUUUUGGUCUUGGAGCUGUAGGCCUUGCUGUAAGUGACGAAGGAUAUUUAUCUUCCACAAUGUACUAGUACUACAGGUUGAUUAGAAUUAUUCCCUACCACCAUGACUGAUUGAUGUAUGUGUUCACUCGAUCAGGCCAUGGAAGGGGCCAAGAUGGCUGGGGCAUCAAGGAUCAUUGGUGUGGACUUGAACCCUGCAAAGUACGAACAAGGUACAGUCUGCUUCUAUCUACAGAAAGAAAAACAAAUCCAUUUGGUGAAUGUUGGUUUGUGGACAACACACUGAACUUUAGCAACAUGUCAAUUUUCAGCUAAGAAGUUUGGCUGCACAGACUUUGUAAACCCAAAGGACCACACCAAGCCAGUGCAAGAGGUCCAUCAAGUUCUCUGCCUGAGCAUACAUCAGUCCCUUAAUUUGUCCAUGGGAUGGAAAAUCAUUCGUCGAAUGCUGACAAUUGAAUUGUUCUCCAGGUGCUUGUCGAGAUGACAAACGGCGGAGUCGACAGAGCAGUGGAGUGUACGGGACACAUUGACGCCAUGAUAUCCGCCUUCGAAUGCGUUCACGAUGUAUGCUCUCGAUGGUAAAGCCGUAGAUCGACUAGGCAUAGAUAGAUCCGGUGAAACCUUUUACUCACCUAGUCCCGAGCCCGAGGAACUCCCUGCUCCGGCCAUCAGUGCCGGUGUAGUCGUCGGUGGCGUGAGGGAAGAGGUGUGGUCGUGGGUGGUGCUUCCCGUGAGCACUGCGCUAACCCUAGAUCGGAAGGGGAUUUAGAUGGGGAGUCUGGCGGCGUGGUGAACCUCUACCGUGCGCCCCGGUCCCCACCACUUUAUAUAUAGCGCAGGUCACAGGGGGCCACCAACCAUAACGGGUUGGGCGCCCCCGAUCAGGGCGCAUAGAUCAAGGGCCCGGUGGACCGUUGGGCCCACGCGGAAGAGAUCAACCUAACACUCGAGUCUCGACGCAAAUAUAGUUUGAUCAUUGUGAGCAUUGAUGUGUCUUUCUGCUUUAAACUGAAAUUCUGAAAUUUGAAUGUAGGGGUGGGGCGUGGCCGUGCUGGUGGGCGUCCCGCACAAGGAGGCGGUGUUCAAGACACACCCGAUGAACUUCCUCAACGAGAGGACCCUGAAGGGCACCUUCUUCGGCAACUACAAGCCGCGCACUGACCUCCCGGAAGUCGUCGAGAUGUACAUGAGGAAGGAGCUGGACCUGGAGAAGUUCAUCACGCACAACGUGCCAUUCUCGCAGAUCAACACGGCGUUCGACCUCAUGCUCAAGGGAGAGGGACUUCGCUGCGUCAUGAGGAUGGACGAGUAGAUCGACUGAUCGAGCUUCUUCGUCACAUCCCUCGCUGCUUUCAGAUUUGGUGCUCGAGAAAAACGAACAAAAAAAGUUUGUAAGAUCUUACCUCCGGUAAUAAUGUAUAGUGAGCAUGUGUUGAGCUCUUUUUUGUCACAAAGAACCAACAUGUAUGUGUUUUGUCACAAGGAACCAACAUGUAUGGUUUGAUCUUUAUUUUCAGUGUGUCGCGAUCGCGACGCGACCGUUUGAGCAAUCUGUUUGGGCGUACAUGAACAUUUUCCACAGUGUAAUAAUUUGCAGUUUCCCACAUCGGCAUCUUCAUUUUUAACUGCAAAUCACCUUCUGAUGUUUUAUCUUCUUUGCAGAAAGUUAUUUUUUUUUACUUAUUGAUGGUGAAAACACUAAAUUAUUUCAAGUCCAAAUUCUACGGGAACAGUUAUGAUCAUAAAGUAAAAUUCAGCAAGCCUGCCGGAUGAAGCUCUAGGCCACAAAGACCAAGAGGAACUUGGAAUGAACUUGGAUGCCUGUGUGUGCGCGGCGCUUUAUUUGUAGAGAGAAUUCCUUAUUUAACUCUAUGCUUAAAUUUUAUGCCCCAUUUAACAUCGACAAAUUAUUUCUUCCCUAUAUAACAAUAAGUCUAAGUUUUAUGUUUUUUAUAACACUUUUGUUCAUUUUAAGCAUAAAUAACAUUUGAAAAGACCAUUUUGCUCCUCAUAUGGUAUGCUUGUGUGUGCGCUGCUGUAUGUGCGUGUGCGUGCACACAUGCUUGCUGCUGAUGUUGCGUCUUUGCUGCUGCAUGUUUGUGUGUGCGUGCGCGCGUGUGCUGUUGCAUUGAUAUUGUGCGUGCUACUGUCCAGCACAUACACAUAUCAUAUGAAGGGCAAAAGAGUCUUUUCAUAUGUCAUUUUGGCUUAAAAUGAACAAAAAUGUCAUUAAAGGGCAUAAAAUUUAAGCUAGUUGCUGUACAGGUAAGAAAAAAAAGUUCAGUAUCAAAUAAGGAAACGAAAUUUAAGAUAGUUUUAAAUAAGGAAUUGUUGCGGGACGAAAGCCAUUUUUGAUAGACCUCAUUAUAAUAAGUAUUUUGGAUCCAAAACUCUCCCCUGGAUAGAACAGAACUCUCAUUUCUCGGAGGGCUUUGCGACAGUCAAACAUAGAUUUUUGAGUUUUGCUUCGGUACACCCCCUUAAAGGUGUGCACGAAUUUUAAAGUUACUUUAAAAGGAUAUUGUCAUAUUAACCUGUAGAUCAAACAUUACUGAAUACAAUGAUUUGGACAGGAAGUAUUAUUCAAGAGGUACAUUUUAAUCUCCGCCUUUAAUCUGCAACAAAAUCCGUACAAAAACAGGUUUGAAACAUUAUGUAGACCAGAAAAUAUUUGGAAAACGUUAUCUUUCAGCCUGCUGAUCCCGCUCCUGCGUUCGUUUGUAACUCUGAUUAACACGUGGCCAUGUGAUUGUGAGUAAAACUGAGGAAAGGAAAGAGCAAAGGGACGCGACCUCGUGAGCGUGCUACGUGUCGUCGAUUGCCAUGGUACUCGCGAGAAUCGGCCGGCUUGAUGGUUUUAAUUUCUUUUUUGCAGCAAGUACUCCAUUGCAAUGGCGGCCAACACCCGCUAGCCGCAAUUUUUUGCAAAAUGUUUCUGCAACAAGUGUCAUGUUGCAAAAAAAUACUACAACAUUAACUCUAUUGCAAGGCUUCUGCAACACGACCAUUAUUGCAAAGAUGUGGACACGUAGAAAAUAUUCUUCAAAUAUUUCUGCAACAUAAUCUUUGUUGUAGAAAGUCUUCUAUAAAAAAUCUAUUGCAAAAAUAAUAAUUUUACAAAUGUAUCCGCAACACUAUAUUUGUUGGAGACAAUAUUCUAUAACAAACUCUGCUGGAAAAAAAAUACAGGUAUUUCCGCAACAUGAUCUUUGUUGCAAAAAAUAUUACAUAACAAAUUUUGUUGUAAAAAAUAAUAAUUUACAGACAUUUUUACAAUAUGAUCUAUGUUACAAAAAAAUCUGCAACAUAAUCUAUGUUAUAAAAGUUAAAAUACCCUUUAGCCAUUUAAUGACACUAAAUGCGGUUAGCGACCCGACCAAUCUUUUAAAAAGAUAGUUCGGCAAACGUGUAGGAGCGACCAAAAUAUUUACAGUUAUUCCUUAAGACGGAGUUGCAUAGACGACAAGUAACUCUGCUCACAACAGGGUUCCUAAUUUCAAUGAAAUUUCAUAAUUUUUGAUGUGAUCCGAAUACUUUUAACCCUGAAAUUUUGAUCCAUAUUCAAAUGUAUUUAAAAAUAAAUUUAAAUUAGGUUAUAAUUAGUGAAUUUUGAAAGUGAAAACCCCUAAAUAUUUUCCGAAAUAUGUGAAUACGUUUUGUUCGACAAUGUCUGACAUUUCAGAAAUUUCGGCAAUGCCUGAGAUUAUUUUGUGUUCAAAAACCUUGGCUCGCGUGCUGACGGUGGAUGCAAAAGGAAGAUGACACUCAUUUUUUUUCAAGGCUGUAAUUUCUUAUUCUUAUAUGGAAGUUUUCGUAGAGGCUGGUUUAAUUUAACAUAUAGCCUUGGGUCUUUUCCGCAAAAGAAGGCAACAACUAUGAAACGAGCAUCCUUCUUCUUCUUUAUUUCUAAGAGGAAAACGAGCAUCCCUCUUUGUUCUUCGAGAGAACAAUCUCAAUCUAAUAAUAAAGCAAAUAUAGUUUCUGGUCGUCCGUCAUGAUAUUUUUGUAAAAAAGUUUCUCCAUUUUCAGUUAAUCAACCCGCAAUCCUUUUUUAAAUGAGAAAAACGUUUCGUCGUGCCACUUUUACAAAAAAAAACCCCGACGUUUUCUGAAAUCAACCCGCAGUCCGGAUUUAAGUCAGAAAACGAAUCUUUUUUGCAUUGUUCCGAAACCCCCCUGAUGUUUCAGGUAAUCAACCCGUCCUCCGUAUUUUAAUGAAAAAAAACCUAACUUUUCAGUUAAUCAAUUCAAAUUUUAUCUAAAACAAAAUUAUCCAUAUCUUUUAAACCGUAGCUUCGAUUUUAACAUGUUAUAUCUGAAAUUUGAUUAAAAAAAUAUGUAGAAUCUAAAUAGAAUGUUAUUUUUAGCUGUUGAAUACUUAUUAAAUAUUAUUUUUAGUGCAAACUUAAUCUGUAGUGUACGGUCUUUUUUCCCUCUCUUUCCGACGACUACGAAUUGCAAUAAACAUCCAUUUAAUUAAAACCAAAUUGAAAGAAAAGAAAACAUCGUUAACCACACAUGCUCACCUUUGAAAAACCUCAUGGGGAGAAACAACAUAUUUUUCAUCUUAUUCCUAAUGAUUGUACAUUCAAACGGGUUUUCGUUGUGUGAGCACUAAAGCCGUCGUCGGCAACACAAAUGUGAUGCCAUGUGAAAAUAUAUUGCGUUUAAAGUGUGUGUUAUCUUCUCUUCCGUUGCAACGCACGAGCUCUUCCACUGGUAAACUUAAAAAACGGACAGACGUCAAUCCUAUAUACACUUUUGAAUCUCCUGCGGGGGAGCAACUGAAAGUGAAAACCGACAGCCAGCAAUCCAGCAUGCAUAUGCUCCAAUCCGGCAGAUGUCGAGAACCACCGACAACAUUUCAGCUGCCCAUUUGGAUCGCGGACUUGCAAAACGACGAGACGAGGUGGACGCCCUGCUGUUUUCGCAGUUGGUUUUCCGCCCCGGUUUUUCGUCACCAAGUCAGCCCUCUCCUGGCCUAAUCGUCGGUUUUUUACUCUGUCCUGGCCGCCGUUGACCCGUAGCCCCUUGGUCGUCACGUCACUCCGAUUUCGAUAUACCACACGGGGCCGAGGUUUGAAACCGGCGGAGACGCGCGCAGACAGGCGAACGGAGGCCGGACACCCCUGUUUCGGUCGCCCUGUCCAAGGAAAACAGCCCAUCUUCUUUCCCCACUUGCACUCCAAGCUAGCCUAAUUAGUUUCGUCUGAUUUUGAUUUUGGUUCAUGUUUGAGGACGGGGAUCUAAAUUUGCAUGGCUGGUUGCAGCGGUGGUGCCAUGGGAGGCCGGGAAGCCGCUAUCGGGCGAGGAGGUGGAGGUGGCGCCGCCGCAGGCCAUGGAGGUGCGAGUCAGGAUCCUCCACCGCACUCUGCCACACCGACGUCUACUUCUGGAAGGCCAAGGUAUCCACACAGCUACACGAUUGUAUCUCAUGGUCGGGUAUGGCGACGAAGAGACACGGAUCAAUGGAUAGAUAAUUAACUUUCGAUCUUCUGCUUGGAUUUGUGCAGGGGCAAACUCCGGUUUUCCCUAGGAUCUUGGGCCAUGAAGCUGGAGGGUAUGCGUCCUCUCUGUCCCCGUCUUACUCUGUUUCAGCUUUGUUGCUUGGAGGAAUCUUGGAUCCUAAAUCAUAGUAGUUUAUUCAUAUUGGCUUCUAGUUUUAGUCGUACUGAUUCAUGGUCUGUCAGUGAUACUAGAUUGAUAACUAUAUACGGCAAGUGUCCAUAUUUUAUUGCCAUGGCAUAAAACAGUAUGACUAAUUAUAGUCAUCCUGAAUACUGAUCUGUCAGUGGUACUAGAUUGAUAACUAUAUAAAGCAAGUAUCCACAUAUUUUAUUGCCAAUGGGAUUAAACAUAUGAAGAAUCAUGGGAAAACGUCAUGCAUGACACAAGCUCAAAUUAUAAAGUGAUUUGUACAAUCAUAUAGGUUUGAACUAGUUAAUUUUCCCAUGUCCUGUGUGCUCCUGCUCUCCUCAUUAUAUCUUUAUCACAUUUAAUUUCGCAGAAAAAAAUUCGUGACAUAUUUUGAGUUGCUAAUUUCCUUGCCAGUUAUCAGUUUUAUUAAAGUGGAAUCUUUCUUCAUUUUAAUGAAUAGUAGUAUCCCUUGUGUUUUCUCUUUAUAGUUUAUCUUUGCUGGUAUCUCUUUUCACAAAUUGCUUCUUUGUCGCAGUAUUGUCGAGAGCGUUCCGGAGGGUGUGACCGAGCUCGUGCCAGGUGACCAUGUCCUCCCGGUGUUCACCGACGAGUGCAAGGAGUGUGCUCACUCCAAGUCAGACGAGAGCAACCUUUGCGACCUCCUCAGGAUCAACGUGGAUCGUGGUGUGAUGAUCGGCGAUGGGGAGUCUCGCUUCAGCAUUAAUGGGAAACCGAUCUUCCACUUUGUUGGGAUCUCCACCUUCAGUGAGUACACUGUGA